Molecule: ribosomal RNA, 406 nt
Filed under: uncultured bacterium
Lineage: Bacteria
Description: partial 16S ribosomal RNA
Rfam family: Bacterial small subunit ribosomal RNA
Source: RNAcentral
AUUGAACGCUGGCGGCAGGCCUAACACAUGCAAGUCGAGCGAGCGGCGGACGGGUGAGUAAUGUCUGGGAAUCUGCCUGAUGGAGGGGGAUAACUACUGGAAACGGUAGCUAAUACCGCAUACUAUCGGAUGUACCCAUAUGGGAUUAGCUAGUAGGUGGGGUAAAGGCUCACCAAGGCGACGAUCUCUAGCUGGUCUGAGAGGAUGAUCAGCCACACUGGAACUGAGACACGGCCCAGACUCCUACGGGAGGCAGCAGUGGGGAAUAUUGCACAAUGGGCGCAAGCCUGAUGCAGCCAUGCCGCGUGUAUGAAGAAGGCCUUAGGGUUGUAAAGUACUUUCAGCGGGGAGGCGUUACCCGCAGAAGAAGCACCGGCUAACUCCGUGCCAGCAGCCGCGGUAAUUC